GACGAACGCUGGCGGCGUGCCUAAUACAUGCAAGUCGAACGCUGAAGGAGGAGCUUGCUUCUCUGGAUGAGUUGCGAACGGGUGAGUAACGCGUAGGUAACCUGCCUGGUAGCGGGGGAUAACUAUUGGAAACGAUAGCUAAUACCGCAUAAUAGUAGAUGUUGCAUGACAUUUGCUUAAAAGGUGCACUUGCAUCACUACCAGAUGGACCUGCGUUGUAUUAGCUAGUUGGUGGGGUAACGGCUCACCAAGGCGACGAUACAUAGCCGACCUGAGAGGGUGAGCGGCCACACUGGGACUGAGACACGGCCCAGACUCCUACGGGAGGCAGCAGUAGGGAAUCUUCGGCAAUGGACGGAAGUCUGACCGAGCAACGCCGCGUGAGUGAAGAAGGGUGUCGGAUCGUAAAGCUCUGUUGUAAGAGAAGAACGAGUGUGAGAGUGGAAAGUUCACACUGUGACGGUAUCUUACCAGAAAGGGACGGCUAACUACGUG
This 495-nucleotide ribosomal RNA is filed under the name uncultured bacterium. Its description in RNAcentral is "partial 16S ribosomal RNA". It matches the Rfam family "Bacterial small subunit ribosomal RNA", at positions 28 to 507 of the family's 1533-position model. The record is from RNAcentral.